Molecule: ribosomal RNA, 434 nt
Filed under: uncultured bacterium
Lineage: Bacteria
Description: partial 16S ribosomal RNA
Rfam family: Bacterial small subunit ribosomal RNA
Source: RNAcentral
ACGGAAGGCAGCAGUGGGGAAUAUUGCACAAUGGGGGAAACCCUGAUGCAGCGACGCCGCGUGAGCGAUGAAGUAUUUCGGUAUGUAAAGCUCUAUCAGCAGGGAAGAAAAUGACGGUACCUGACUAAGAAGCUCCGGCUAAAUACGUGCCAGCAGCCGCGGUAAUACGUAUGGAGCAAGCGUUAUCCGGAUUUACUGGGUGUAAAGGGAGCGUAGGCGGAAGGCUAAGUCUGAUGUGAAAACCCAGGGCUCAACCUUGGGACUGCAUUGGAAACUGGUUUUCUAGAGUGUCGGAGGGGUAAGUGGAAUUCCUAGUGUAGCGGUGAAAUGCGUAGAUAUUAGGAGGAACACCAGUGGCGAAGGCGGCUUACUGGACUGUAACUGACGUUGAGGCUCGAAAGCGUGGGGAGCAAACAGGAUUAGAUACCCUGGUA